RNAcentral lists this ribosomal RNA (524 nucleotides) under Trichocladium sp. Gall_35. Its description in RNAcentral is "eukaryotic LSU rRNA". The stretch from base 175 to 328 matches the Rfam family "5.8S ribosomal RNA". The record is from RNAcentral. Lineage: Eukaryota; Fungi; Ascomycota; Sordariomycetes; Sordariales; Chaetomiaceae.
AGGGAUCAUUAAAGAGUUGCAAAACUCCCAAACCAUUGUGAACUUACCUUCAACGUUGCUUCGGCGGGUUGGCCCCGGUCCCCCGGGGUCCCCCGGCCCUCACGGGCGCCCGCCGGAGGUACCUAACUCUUGAACUUUUAUGGCCUCUCUGAGUCUUUGUACUUAAUAAGUCAAAACUUUCAACAACGGAUCUCUUGGUUCUGGCAUCGAUGAAGAACGCAGCGAAAUGCGAUAAGUAAUGUGAAUUGCAGAAUUCAGUGAAUCAUCGAAUCUUUGAACGCACAUUGCGCCCGCCAGUAUUCUGGCGGGCAUGCCUGUUCGAGCGUCAUUUCAACCAUCAAGCCCCCGGCUUGUGUUGGGGACCUGCGGCUGCCGCAGGCCCUGAAAACCAGUGGCGGGCUCGCUAGUCACUCCGAGCGUAGUAAUACAUCUCGCUCAGGGCGUGCUGCGGGUUCCGGCCGUUAAAAAGCCUUAUUUUACCCAAGGUUGACCUCGGAUCAGGUAGGAAGACCCGCUGAACUUAA